CGUAGGGUCAGGUGGCACAGCAAAGGCACUGAAGGCUUGGGAUUGGAAUGAAAACUGACAUUUUCCAGUCCUGUGGCCACUGCUGAGUUUUCCAAAUUUGCUGGCAUAUUGAGUGCAACACUUUCACAGCAUCAUCUUUUAGGAUUUUAAAUAGCUCAACUGGAAUUCUAUCACCUCCAUUAGCUUUUUUCGUAGUGAUGCUUCCUAAGGCCCACUUGACUUUCCAUUCCAGGAUGUCUGGCUCUAGGGUCCAGGGCACUGAGUGUGGCACUAAGUGUGGCAUUGUGUACACAGGACCUUUUGAAGGUCACCAUUUUCUUCAUUACCUCCACCAUAGUUUGCCCUCAGAUCAAACAACCGGGAGG
Molecule: long non-coding RNA, 365 nt
Organism: Bos taurus (domestic cattle)
Lineage: Eukaryota; Metazoa; Chordata; Mammalia; Artiodactyla; Bovidae
Source: Ensembl